Molecule: long non-coding RNA, 1126 nt
Organism: Anguilla rostrata (American eel)
Lineage: Eukaryota; Metazoa; Chordata; Actinopteri; Anguilliformes; Anguillidae
Exons: 2
Source: RefSeq, a predicted model, not a curated record
UGCGCGUGCCGAGAGCGGAAGUAAGCAAAGGCAGUGGAGACUUAUUUCCCGUGGACUUGCCGGUCGGUAAAAAUUAUUUUCACGAAGUCUCUCCACAAUCUGCAGAAGACUAUAAUGACUGAUGUCAACAGAAUCGCCGACAUUUUCUUCAUUAACCUCAAGUUCGAAACUUGAGAAAGGGUACAUGUUCUUUGUCAAACACUAUUUAUUCGACUAUGAAGAGAUCUUCAGUACAGACCCAGAGACCCAUUACUGCCUCCUCCCUCCUUUUUACUACAACGCCAGAACACAACGCAGAAUCACCAUCAAUUGGCGUAACGCACCGGUUACAUUUUAUUUUAACACGUCUUAGGCCUUUCGGGGUUUAAUAGAUAUCCUCCUUACUAAAAUGAAGACUGCAGACACAGGCGCUUCCACGAAGAAUUUUGAACGUGGCGCCCUCGUCUCUUCUGGUCGCUGUAACCCAGUGAGCUCGCAAUUCAUCAUCUGACAGAAAGUCGUGUAAACUUAAAUAAGAAUGCAUUGGCUUGUUGUUGGAAUAAUACGAGACAUUUGCAACUUGAUUGGGCAAUGGUUUGGCUUUUCUCAAUGUGACGGUAGAGAACUGGAAGAAAGACUCCACUGCCUACUUCCACCCUCGGAACGCGCAGCGUGAAAAGGGCCUAUAGGCUACUUCUGUCUUUAAUCCACUAAAAUGACCAGUCAAGCAGGUCGUUUCACUGCUGAUGUGUCGUUUAGCAAAUGACAGUGAUGAAUGAACAAGAGGGAAGCGUGAUAUUUUUGUCAGAUAAUUUAUUGAAAUGCAUUGAUGUGGAGAAUAGCCGUAUCAGCUCUUGUAUGAGGGAAUGUCAAUCAUAAAUUUCUCCUUGCCUGCUUAACCCCUUCAUCUCUUCUACCCAUUCUCUCUCACCACCAGUAUUCUAUAAAAACGUCUGUUCUUGCUGGAUUUAUUAUGAUAACCAAAUAUCACAAAAGCCCUGACCGUGUCUGACAUGCUUGCUAUGAGUCAGCUGUAUAAAUCACAGUUAUUAAAAUUGUAGUUACGUUAAACCCAUGCUAUUUGUCCACUGAAGCGCCUUUUUAAAAAAGUUGAACUUCAGCUGUAAAAUAAACUGAACUGAGCAUA